AACGAACGCUGGCGGCAUGCCUAACACAUGCAAGUCGAACGAGAUCUUCGGGUCUAGUGGCGCACGGGUGCGUAACGCGUGGGAAUCUGCCCUUUGGUUCGGAAUAACAGUUGGAAACGACUGCUAAUACCGGAUGAUGACGAAAGUCCAAAGAUUUAUCGCCAGAGGAUGAGCCCGCGUAGGAUUAGCUAGUUGGUGUGGUAAAGGCGCACCAAGGCGACGAUCCUUAGCUGGUCUGAGAGGAUGAUCAGCCGCACUGGGACUGAGACACGGCCCAGACUCCUACGGGAGGCAGCAGUGGGGAAUAGUGGCCAAUGGGCGAAAGCCUGAUCCAGCAAUGCCGCGUGAGUGAUGAAGGCCUUAGGGUUGUAAAGCUCUUUUACCCGGGAUGAUAAUGACAGUACCGGGAGAAUAAGCUCCGGCUAACUCCGUGCCAGCCGCCGCAGUAA
Molecule: ribosomal RNA, 449 nt
Filed under: uncultured bacterium
Lineage: Bacteria
Description: partial 16S ribosomal RNA
Rfam family: Bacterial small subunit ribosomal RNA
Source: RNAcentral